CCAAUAGCGUAUAUUAAAGUUGUUGCAGUUAAAAAGCUCGUAGUUGAAUUUCGGGGUCAGUAGGUCGGUCGUGCCACUGGUAUGAACUGGUUUUACUGAUUCCUCCCUCUUGAAGAACUGUAAUGCCAUUAAUUUGUUGUUGUAGGGAAUCAGGACUGUUACUUUGAAAAAAUUAGAGUGUUUAAAGCAGGCUUUAGCUUGAAUACAUUAGCAUGGAAUAAUGAAAUAGGACGUUUGAUCCUAUUUUGUUGGUUUCUAGGAUUGACGUAAUGAUUAAUAGGGAUAGUUGGGGGCAUUAGUAUUCAAUUGUCAGAGGUGAAAUUCUUGGAUUUAUUGAAGACUAACUACUGCGAAAGCAUUUGCCAAGGAUGUUUUCAUUAAUCAAGAACGAAAGUUAGGGGAUCGAAGACGAUCAGAUACCGUCGUAGUCUUAACCAUAAACUAUGCCGACUAGGGAUCGGAUGAUGUUAAUUUUUUAAUGACUCAUUCGGCGCCUUACG
Molecule: unclassified non-coding RNA, 500 nt
Filed under: uncultured Glomus
Lineage: Eukaryota; Fungi; Glomeromycota; Glomeromycetes; Glomerales; Glomeraceae
Description: SSU rRNA
Rfam family: Eukaryotic small subunit ribosomal RNA
Source: RNAcentral